This 518-nucleotide ribosomal RNA is filed under the name uncultured bacterium. RNAcentral's name for it is "bacterial SSU rRNA". It matches the Rfam family "Bacterial small subunit ribosomal RNA", at positions 61 to 568 of the family's 1533-position model. The record is from RNAcentral.
GUCGAGGGGCAGCAUGGGGGAGUAGCAAUACUCUCUGAUGGCGACCGGCGCAAGGGUGCGUAACGCGUGAGCAACUUGCCCUCAUCAGGGGAAUAAUCGCUGGAAACGGCGUCUAAUGCCCCAUGGUGAUGUCCUCAGGCAUCUGAGGUCAUCUAAAGAUCCGUCGGAUGGGGAUAGGCUCGCGUGACAUUAGCUAGACGGCGGGGUAACGGCCCACCGUGGCGACGAUGUCUAGGGGUUCUGAGAGGAAGGUCCCCCACACUGGAACUGAGACACGGUCCAGACUCCUACGGGAGGCAGCAGUGAGGAAUAUUGGUCAAUGGCCGGAAGGCUGAACCAGCCAUGCCGCGUGAAGGUCAAUGCCCUAUGGGCGUUAAACUUCUUUUGUGCGGGAGCAAUAAUGGUCACGUGUGGCCAGACCAGAGUACCGUACGAAUAAGCAUCGGCUAACUCCGUGCCAGCAGCCGCGGUAAUACGGGGGAUGCAAGCGUUAUCCGGAUUUAUUGGGUUUAAAGGGU